This 746-nucleotide ribosomal RNA is filed under the name Salmonella enterica. RNAcentral describes it as "partial 23S ribosomal RNA". It matches the Rfam family "Bacterial large subunit ribosomal RNA", at positions 2058 to 2803 of the family's 2925-position model. Lineage: Bacteria; Pseudomonadati; Pseudomonadota; Gammaproteobacteria; Enterobacterales; Enterobacteriaceae. The record is from RNAcentral.
GAUGCAGUGUACCCGCGGCAAGACGGAAAGACCCCGUGAACCUUUACUAUAGCUUGACACUGAACAUUGAGCCUUGAUGUGUAGGAUAGGUGGGAGGCUUUGAAGUGUGGACGCCAGUCUGCAUGGAGCCGACCUUGAAAUACCACCCUUUAAUGUUUGAUGUUCUAACGUGGACCCGUGAUCCGGGUUGCGGACAGUGUCUGGUGGGUAGUUUGACUGGGGCGGUCUCCUCCUAAAGAGUAACGGAGGAGCACGAAGGUUGGCUAAUCCUGGUCGGACAUCAGGAGGUUAGUGCAAUGGCAUAAGCCAGCUUGACUGCGAGCGUGACGGCGCGAGCAGGUGCGAAAGCAGGUCAUAGUGAUCCGGUGGUUCUGAAUGGAAGGGCCAUCGCUCAACGGAUAAAAGGUACUCCGGGGAUAACAGGCUGAUACCGCCCAAGAGUUCAUAUCGACGGCGGUGUUUGGCACCUCGAUGUCGGCUCAUCACAUCCUGGGGCUGAAGUAGGUCCCAAGGGUAUGGCUGUUCGCCAUUUAAAGUGGUACGCGAGCUGGGUUUAGAACGUCGUGAGACAGUUCGGUCCCUAUCUGCCGUGGGCGCUGGAGAACUGAGGGGGGCUGCUCCUAGUACGAGAGGACCGGAGUGGACGCAUCACUGGUGUUCGGGUUGUCAUGCCAAUGGCACUGCCCGGUAGCUAAAUGCGGAAGAGAUAAGUGCUGAAAGCAUCUAAGCACGAAACUUGCCCCGAG